UCUCUCUCCUGCCGCCCUGUGAAGACAUGCCUUCUGCCAUGAUUCCAAGUUUCCUGAGGCCUCCCCAGCCAAGUGGAACUGAAGUUCACAUGAACAUCCAGAUUUUGUACUUCUCUUGAAACACUGGAAGAUACAUCAACACUAGGUCCACUCCGCUGCACAGAAACAACUGGCUUGGUCCAAGCGGCAUCCUGAGUUUCCACCUGGCUAAUGAAUUUAGGGAGAAUUUUCACCACUUCUGAAUAAGUGGCCCAUGUGUUUCAAUUAUGGACAAAAUCAACAAAACACACCAGUAAGUGAAGCAAAGGAAAAGCCAUGGGCCUGAAAACCUGGGCUUCUCUUCCUGCCAUAACACAAGCUAUUCAGCAGCCAAGAACAAGGGUAUUUUCUGGAUUUUCUACAGUGAACAUGUACGAUCUUUAUACUAAAAGUUUAGUUUUUUGUAAAAAAUUAUGUAAACAACAGUACUUAUUUGGAAGUUUAAUGCAUGAAAGCAUCUCUGAAUUUGGCCUAAAUGCAAUGACCAUACUAAGUCUUUCUGACCAGACCAGCAAACCAGCAGAAUAAGCAUUUCAACCAUUCUUCAUGCUGAAUGUGAUUACUGUUCCAAGUGAUGGGUUUUAAGGGGCUUUUAAAUUCAAUUUGUGAGUACAGUUAGGCCUCCAUAAUAAUCAACCUAAUUCAACCAUUAUGUAAAUCACUGCCUCACAGAGAGGUACCCUGGUGGAGAAAGAGAAAAGACCACAAGCAAGAAUACUUAGGAAACAGAAUGCUUUGACUAAAUGAAUGUGAUACUUAACAGCAAUAAAAAAAAACCUUUAAUUCAAGCCUCUGAGUUAUAUGACCUGCUUUGUCACCUUCUUAAAGAUCACUGACAUUGAGCUUAAUGACCUAGAAGUGUGCAGUGCCUUGGGCCUCCCCAGACAUCCAUUUCAUCUCAAAGCUGAGGAAGGAAUGAGGUGGGGGUGGGAGACACCUAAGCCGAGUACACAGGAAACAGGGUCAUUCGAUGGAGACUGUCAUUUGAAAAAUAACAUGAUGAUAUCAAUUUUGUUGCUGUUGUUUUUGCCUAAUCAUGAAGUCCAAGAAGAUGAAAGUUCAGCUUAGCUGGGACUUUGCCAAAUAUUUAUCCUGAGACAGUAGUAGACAUAUAUUUUAAGGCACUGUAAUAAUAACAUGAAAGUCAUUCACCAGAGGACCUCACUCACAAAAAUAACUUAUAAGGAAAGAAUACUCUGAAUAAUAGUAAUGCUUCCAUAAGUCUUUUGAUUAUCAUAUUCUGCUAAAAAAACUUGAAACAUUACUUUCAAAUAUAUCUAACAGAUCUUACUCCUUGCAUUAUUAUUAUUUAGAUGAAUUAUUAUUCAUGUGAACCUAAUGGCAACAUAGGGAGAAACUACAAAACCCUCCUAAUUAGCUACUCUACUUUUUGCAUGAUUUUAAUUCAGUCUUAUAUUAUAAUGCACAUCUUUUAAAAUUGAGAUGUCUAAUCAGGAGCUGAAGAACACAUUGGAUUUCCUCCAAACUAAACCAUAAGAACAACUAUAUGGCUUCUGUACUAUCAUUUCUUUAAAAAUCUGGAAUUCCCCUUCCUUACAAGUUGUUAAAACUCAUUUCAAAAUCCAGUUUUAAUUGUAUCAGUAAAUGGCAGCAUGCCAUAUAGUUCAGGAUGAGAUAAUGUUUUUUUCCUAUUAGGAGAACAAAGAGUAGCAUCAGGUUUUCUGAUGUGGCAGCACACAGUGUCUCAGUGCAUCAGCUCAUUGAUCAUUCAACAGAUACUUAUGAAGUACCUACUACAUGUGAGGCACUCUGCCAAAU
This 1818-nucleotide long non-coding RNA is filed under the name Homo sapiens (human). Its description in RNAcentral is "HSALNT0328853". The record is from RNAcentral. Lineage: Eukaryota; Metazoa; Chordata; Mammalia; Primates; Hominidae.